GACGAACGCUGGCGGCGUGCUUAACACAUGCAAGUCGAACGGAAAGGCCCUGCUUUUGUGGGGUGCUCGAGUGGCGAACGGGUGAGUAACACGUGAGUAACCUGCCCUUGACUUUGGGAUAACUUCAGGAAACUGGGGCUAAUACCGGAUAGGAGCUCCUGCUGCAUGGUGGGGGUUGGAAAGUUUCGGCGGUUGGGGAUGGACUCGCGGCUUAUCAGCUUGUUGGUGGGGUAGUGGCUUACCAAGGCUUUGACGGGUAGCCGGCCUGAGAGGGUGACCGGCCACAUUGGGACUGAGAUACGGCCCAGACUCCUACGGGAGGCAGCAGUGGGGAAUAUUGCACAAUGGGCGGAAGCCUGAUGCAGAAACGCCGCGUGCGGGAUGACGGCCUUCGGGUUGUAAACCGCUUUCGCCUGCGACGAAGCGUGAGUGACGGUAAUGGGUAAAGAAGCACCGGCUAACUACGUG
RNAcentral lists this ribosomal RNA (468 nucleotides) under uncultured bacterium. RNAcentral describes it as "partial 16S ribosomal RNA". It matches the Rfam family "Bacterial small subunit ribosomal RNA", at positions 28 to 507 of the family's 1533-position model. The record is from RNAcentral.